GAGCCCGCACAAGCAGCGGAGCAUGUUCUUUAAUUCGAAGCAACGCGAAGAACCUUACCAGGGCUUGACAUCCCAAGAACCCUGUUGAAAGACGGGGGUGCCCUUCGGGGAACUUGGAGACAGGUGGUGCAUGGUUGUCGUCAGCUCGUGUCGUGAGAUGUUGGGUUAAGUCCCGCAACGAGCGCAACCCUUAUCAUUAGUUACCAGCGGGUAAAGCCGGGGACUCUAGUGAGACUGCCGGUGAUAAAUCGGAGGAAGGUGGGGACGACGUCAAAUCAUCAUGCUCCUUAUGUCCUGGGCUAGAAACGUGCUACAAUGGCCACUACAGAGGGCUGCGAUGUCGCAAGGCAGAGCGAAACCGAAAAAAGUGGUCUCAGUUCGGAUUGAGGGCUGCAACCCGCCCUCAUGAAGCCGGAGUUGCUAGUAAUCGCGAAUCAGCACGUCGCGGUGAAUACGUUCCCGGGCUUU
RNAcentral lists this ribosomal RNA (468 nucleotides) under uncultured bacterium. RNAcentral's name for it is "bacterial SSU rRNA". It matches the Rfam family "Bacterial small subunit ribosomal RNA", at positions 917 to 1382 of the family's 1533-position model. The record is from RNAcentral.